RNAcentral lists this ribosomal RNA (782 nucleotides) under Staphylococcus sp. SF2. Its description in RNAcentral is "bacterial SSU rRNA". It matches the Rfam family "Bacterial small subunit ribosomal RNA", at positions 114 to 880 of the family's 1533-position model. The record is from RNAcentral. Lineage: Bacteria; Bacillati; Bacillota; Bacilli; Caryophanales; Staphylococcaceae.
CACGUGGAUAACCUACCUAUAAGACUGGGAUNNCUUCGGGAAACCGGAGCUAAUACCGGAUAAGAUUUUGAACCGCAUGGUUCAAUAGUGAAAGACGGCCUUGCUGUCACUUAUAGAUGGAUCCGCGCCGUAUUAGCUAGUUGGUAAGGUAACGGCUUACCAAGGCAACGAUACGUAGCCGACCUGAGAGGGUGAUCGGCCACACUGGAACUGAGACACGGUCCAGACUCCUACGGGAGGCAGCAGUAGGGAAUCUUCCGCAAUGGGCGAAAGCCUGACGGAGCAACGCCGCGUGAGUGAUGAAGGUCUUCGGAUCGUAAAACUCUGUUAUCAGGGAAGAACAAACGUGUAAGUAACUGUGCACGUCUUGACGGUACCUGAUCAGAAAGCCACGGCUAACUACGUGCCAGCAGCCGCGGUAAUACGUAGGUGGCAAGCGUUAUCCGGAAUUAUUGGGCGUAAAGCGCGCGUAGGCGGUUUUUUAAGUCUGAUGUGAAAGCCCACGGCUCAACCGUGGAGGGUCAUUGGAAACUGGAAAACUUGAGUGCAGAAGAGGAAAGUGGAAUUCCAUGUGUAGCGGUGAAAUGCGCAGAGAUAUGGAGGAACACCAGUGGCGAAGGCGACUUUCUGGUCUGUAACUGACGCUGAUGUGCGAAAGCGUGGGGAUCAAACAGGAUUAGAUACCCUGGUAGUCCACGCCGUAAACGAUGAGUGCUAAGUGUUAGGGGGUUUCCGCCCCNUUAGUGNUGCAGCUAACGGCAUUAANCACUCCGCCUGGGGGA